This 2570-nucleotide long non-coding RNA is filed under the name Monodelphis domestica (gray short-tailed opossum). RNAcentral's name for it is "lncRNA (ENSMODG00000044589.1)". The record is from RNAcentral. Lineage: Eukaryota; Metazoa; Chordata; Mammalia; Didelphimorphia; Didelphidae.
AGGAUUAUUCUUGUUAUUUACAAUGAUAUUUUCAGUAGUUUCUGUCAUGUCCAACUCUUUGUGACCCCAUUUGGAAAUUUCUUAGCCAAGAUACUGGAGUGGUUUGCUAUUUCCUUCUCCAGCUCAUUUUACCAAUGAGGAAACUGGAGCAAACAGGGUUAAGUGACUUACCCAGAAUCAUCCAGCAGUAAGUAUCUGAGGACAUAUUUAAACUAUUGGGGUUAAGAUAAACAUUUGGUGUAAAUUAAGAGUUUAGUAAGCUAAGGACAGAGUGAAAGAGUGUCAGAUCAACUUCUGAGGCCUAGCUUGGAAUCUUGGGCAAAGUUCCUGCAGGGAAUCUUGGGAAGCUUAAAAGGAUUGGACUUCCAACUGCCAAGUGUCUCUUGGACAGUGUGGAAAGGAAACAAGACUGACAGUUGGUGGGGGAAGGGGCAAUUGGGAGUGGCAUUUGUGUCUUGUGACUAGCACUUCCUUCCAAGAGAAGCCUUCCUCUCCGAGGCUGGUUGGAUCCUGCUGUCAGAAUCUACUUUGGAAAACUGGGAAAACCAAUAGUUACAGUUGUAGGAGGAACCAAAUUGUGGAGAAGAUCAAGAGAAAGAAGAAAAGAGACUUUAUUUUUCUACCUCUGUGUAACUGAAGACAAAGGCGUCAUUUUGCUCUUCCAAAAAAUGAAAGAAAAACCACUUACUCUAUGCCAGGUGAGGGAAAGUGUUGCAGAAUGGAUGGAAAAAUGGCUUCAGCAUCAGAAAAAAGUAAAUGGAAGUCUAGCCUCUAUCCAAAGCUGGUUGUGAUCCUAAUCAAAUCUCAAUGUUACAGGCACCUGUAAGUUACAAAGAAGGUGUCAGUGUGCCUUGAUAGAGGAAGUUUCUCAGCAAUGUUUCUCUCUUCUGAUGCAAUCAUAGGUCAAGUGUUAAAAAAAAAACUGUCAGUGAUACCACAUUCAGACCAUUCAUAUACAAAAGGGUAUCAGGUCCUGCUCUUGAAGAAUCUACAUUGAACAAAGAGAGGCAACACAGAAGGGAUUUGGUGCUAGGGAAGAGAGUUUUUGCCUUUAAGUCACAGGCAUGAUGAGUAAGACCAUAGAAUAUUUGAUUUCCAUGUCCUUACAGAAGCAAUAGUAGUAUUACUUUGAUACUGUUAUCAGAGGAAGACAUAGAAAGCCAGAUUAGGGGUAAGUAAGUAGCUAAUGGUCAGAACUAAAGGACAAAAGGUCAAGAUGUCCAGAAGAGAUGGAUGCCAAACUUGAUCUGAGCAGGAAUUCCAAAGCUGAAUAGAUUACAUCUUCCAUGCAUGGCUCCUGGGGGUUUGUACCAGAGUAGGUUGUCCUAACUCCCUUAGCCAACAUAUCCAUUCAUUUAUCAAGCCCUGCCAUUUCUGUCUUCACAUAUCUCUGAGUUCAAACCUUUCCUCUGUACUCCUCCUGUAGAGAAAUAGCUCACAAAGAAAUCUUUUUGACUCCUAAUCAUUGUUUCUUCCAUUGCCUGCACAGGCAGUACCUAAAGUCACACACAGAGCAGAGGACACAAAGCACAGUUCUUUCCACUGAAUCAUGCUACAUCCUUUCAUAGGAUCCUUGAGGCACAUUGGCAGAGUUAAAAAAAAAUCACACACAUAGCAACAUGGCAAACCACUUAAAAAAACUUUCUUUAACUUUUUAGGCAACUGUCUGACUUUUCUUCACCUUCACAUAGCUACAUCUGGAUCGGGAGAGUGCCCAGAGGAAGGAAGCCAAUGAAGAACUCCCAAACAAGCCAAACCACAAUGUCUGAACCAAGGAAGCUGGACAACGUAUUUCCUCUAUUCUAUGCACCUGGUUUCUCUGCUUGGAAUAGAUGUAGCCCACAGGGUUAACUGAGUUUGCAGUCUGCUCAAGGGGAAAGUGUGCUGACCCUCUGUUGCCUGCUGUUAUGCCCAUACCAACAAAAUUAUGGGAAACCCCAGCCAGACUAUUCUAAGGACCACAGGCAUGUCUGGUUUGUCAGAUUAUUACAGAAAUUUUUCCAUGAACAAUAUGAAUCAAGUUGUAUAUAACUAAACAAUAUUUCCUUGAUUUACUUUUGUGGUGGUUCUGCCUCCUUUCUCCAAACUGCCAUUAGAUAAUGGUUGAACAUCUGAUGAGUCAAGCAUUCAAUUGAAGCCACCUGUUUGAAGGAUGGGCCUAAGGGUUUUUAUUCACUGUGAAGAGAAAGCCUACUUUAUUUUCUUUUCAUGGUAGGAAAAGAGGAAACCUAGCAUGCAUGAGUUUGUAUAGUGGAUCAUUGUUAGCUUUAUUAUAGGUUCAUAGAUUGAGAACUGACAGUUGAGAAUUCACAAGGAUCUCAGAGGUCAUCGAGUUUAUCACUCUGAUUAUACAGAGAAGGAAGUCCAAGCCCAGAGUUGUAAAGUGACUUAUUUAUCCAAUGUAAUACAGUAAGGAGAUAGCAGAACUAGGAUUUGAAACCAGGUCUUUUGACUCCAAAUCUAAUCAGGCAGCAAUUCAAUCAACAUCCAUUAGUUUUAUGCUAUGACCUAAGAACCUUUUUUAAGUGCUAUGGUACCAAACCAAAAUAAAAAGGCCAUAGACAGCUCCA